Unclassified non-coding RNA from Papio anubis (olive baboon), 148 nucleotides. It matches the Rfam family "Metazoan signal recognition particle RNA". From Rfam's summary of the family: The signal recognition particle (SRP) is a universally conserved ribonucleoprotein. It is involved in the co-translational targeting of proteins to membranes. NCBI's taxonomy places the organism in Eukaryota, Metazoa, Chordata, Mammalia, Primates, Cercopithecidae. The record is from Ensembl.
GCUGGGUGUGGUGGCGGGCACCUGUAAUCCCAGCUACUCGGGAGGCUGAGGCAAGAGAAUCGCUUGAACCCGGGAGGCAGAGGUUGCAGUGAGCUGAGAUUGCGCCACUGCACUCCAGCCUGGGUGACACAGUGAGAUUCCGUCUCAA